This 1508-nucleotide long non-coding RNA is filed under the name Sus scrofa (pig). RNAcentral's name for it is "lncRNA (ENSSSCG00065064946.1)". Lineage: Eukaryota; Metazoa; Chordata; Mammalia; Artiodactyla; Suidae. The record is from RNAcentral.
CGUGCUUUAUGGAGCUAAGCCUUGCCCAGAAGAGGAAAGAAGACAGCAGAGACAGCUCAGGGAGUGUGGCAGGAUGCUGUCAUGACCCUGUGUAAGACUCCAGCUGAGUGCUGUGUGUAUUUAUAGACACACACACACACAGACACGCAGGCAUGGGAAACGUGCCCUGGAACAAACGUACUGUUUGUUUCCUGGAAACAUGCCCUUCCUUGCCAACUUGCCAGAUUUCCCAGAUCACAUCAUCCUGAAGCAGGGAAAAUUAUGUCUUCUUAUUCCUGGCAUCCACCUGCCACAUGAAGAGAGAUCUUUGGAAAACGGAUCUGACCACUUCUCUGCCCUUUGGAAGACUGGAGCAAUUUCACCUUGUCCUCAGGGAACGAGCUUAAAUUCUCGUGAUGCUGAGAAGAGGGCAGGAGCGGAUAAGUCAAGCACACAAACCAUGGAGAAAAACUUAAGGAUACUUUCCACACCCCAAGCAACAGGCACAUCCCUCUGGGGUGCAACCUAGGUAAGUAAGCCCUGACCACACAGGGGUAUGGAUGCCCUCGGCUGCCUAAGGAGAAGCUUGAUUUGAGGUCUAAGGAAGGCAUCUCCCUUGUGGAAAUGGUACCUGACGGUGACCUGGGCUCUGUGGGGGUGGUAGGCAGAUGUAACAACGUGUGUGGUCGCACCGUUUACAAUACCACACCUUCAUAACCAACCACAUCUCAUUUGAUCCUUUUUUUUUUUUUUUUUGGUCUUUUUUUUAGGGCCACACCUGCAGCAUAUGGAAGUUCUGGGACUCAGGGUGGAAUCAGAGCUGCUGCGCAGCUGAGGGGCAACAUGGGAUCCGAGCCACAUCUGCAACCUACACCGCAGCUUGUGGCAACGCCAGAUCCUUUAACUCACUGAGCGUAGCCAGGAUCAAACCCAAAUCCUCACAGAUACUAACUGGGUUCUUCGCACACUGAGCCACAGCAGAAACUCCACACAUCUCAUGUGACCCCAGUGCCUACUCUCUAGGUAGCUUCCUCACCCUCAUUUCUCAGAUGAGGGAAACUGAGGCUCACAGAAUUUUCUGAGUGGCCAGAAACCCAGGGUUUCUGACACACGGUCUUUCCCUUACACGGCAGUUUGGCCUGGGGAAGUCAUGCAAAAUCUCACAGAGCAGGAAACCAUGACUUCUACAGAGACGGCUUCCUCCCAACCCUGGGCAAGGCCCACGGCUGAUGCAAAGUCAUGGUGGUAAAAAGGGAGUGUGCAGGGGGCCACGCUGAUGAGGGCUGGUGGCUGGAUAGCGGCAGGAGCAGCCAAGGGUACUAGGGGGCUGAGCUGGACUAGGCUACUCACCCAGGGUGUGGCUCAGUGCCCAAGGAGAACAGUGAGGCUAUGACUGGCCUAGGGGCUGCCCUGUGCCCAGGAGCAGGGGGCCUAGCCUGAGGGAGGCCUGACUGUAUCCAGGUCUUUGAUGACCACGGGUAAAGAUAAGAUAAAGCCAGUCUCUUAUUUUUAAGCCAGUCAAAGAGAGG